RNAcentral lists this small RNA (149 nucleotides) under Arabidopsis thaliana (thale cress). Its description in RNAcentral is "ATSL190250". Lineage: Eukaryota; Viridiplantae; Streptophyta; Magnoliopsida; Brassicales; Brassicaceae. The record is from RNAcentral.
AUAAUAACCAAAAAUACCCAAAUAUUAUUAUAAUACAAUUAAAAAGUAAAUAAAAAUAGGAAAAUAUCACUUUAUAUGCUCAGAAGACUGAAAAAUUAGGUGUAGGAAUUGUGGACUAUUUCAACAGUAAAAGAACUAAUGAAGUUACU